RNAcentral lists this ribosomal RNA (2886 nucleotides) under Calothrix sp. NIES-3974. RNAcentral describes it as "bacterial LSU rRNA". It matches the Rfam family "Bacterial large subunit ribosomal RNA". The record is from RNAcentral. Lineage: Bacteria; Bacillati; Cyanobacteriota; Cyanophyceae; Nostocales; Calotrichaceae.
UCAAGCGAGAAAGGGCUGAUGGUGGAUACCUAGGCACGCAGCGGCGAAGAAGGACGUGGUUACCAACGAAAAGCUCCGGGGAGUUGGAAGCAAACAGAGAGCCGGAGAUAUCCGAAUGGGGGAACCCAGAAUACUACCUGUUGAAUAUAUAGACAGGAAAGAGCGAACCUGGCGAAUUGAAACAUCUUAGUAGCCAGAGGAAAAGAAAACAAAAGUGAUUCCCCAAGUAGUGGUGAGCGAACGGGGAGAAGCCCAAACCAAGUUACAUGUAACUUGGGGUAGUGGGACUGCGACAAAAUCGAAUCUGAAGGUUAGACGAAGCAUUUGAAAGAUGCACCAGAGAAAGUGAAAGUCUUGUAGUCGAAAACUAAACAGAUAGAAGCAGUAUCCCGAGUAGCAUGGAGCACGUGAAAUUCCAUGUGAAUCAGCCGGGACCACCCGGUAAGGCUAAAUACGUCUGCGUGACCGAUAGCGAAACAGUACCGCGAGGGAAAGGUGAAAAGAACCCCGGGAGGGGAGUGAAAUAGAACAUGAAACCAUCAGCCUACAAGCAGUUAGAGCACGAUUAAACGUGUGAUAGCGUGCCUGUUGAAGAAUGAGCCGGCGAGUUAUAGGUACUGGUAGGUUAAGACGGGAAUGUCAGAGCCAAAGCGAAAGCGAGUUUGAAAAGAGCGAAAAUCAGUAUUUAUAGACCCGAACCCUGGCGAUCUAACCAUGUCCAGGAUGAAGCAAGGGUGACACCUUGUGGAGGUCCGAACCGACCAAUGUUGAAAAAUUGGCGGAUGAGGUGUGGUUAGGGGUGAAAUGCCAAUCGAGCCAGGAGCUAGCUGGUUCUCCCCGAAAUGUGUUGAGGCGCAGCGGUUAGGAAUAUCACUUGGGGGUAAAGCACUGUUUCGGUGCGGGCUGGGAGACCGGUACCAAAUCGAGACAAACUCAGAAUACCAAGUUAACACCUAGCCAGUGAGACGGUGGGGGAUAAGCUUCAUCGUCAAGAGGGAAACAGCCCAGACCGCCAGCUAAUGGUCCCAAAAUCUACGUUAAGUGGCAAAGGAGGUGGGAGUGCAUAGACAACCAGGAGGUUUGCCUAGAAGCAGCCACCCUUGAAAGAGUGCGUAAUAGCUCACUGGUCAAGCGCUCCUGCGCCGAAAAUGAACGGGACUAAACGUAGUACCGAAGCUGCGGACUUAGAAAUAAGUGGUAGGGGAGCGUUCUGUAGUAGGGAGAAGCUGUAGCGGCAAGCAGCAGUGGACGAAACAGAAGUGAGAAUGUCGGCUUGAGUAGCGCAAAUAUUGGUGAGAAUCCAAUACCCCGAAACCCCAAGGGUUCCAGAGGCAGGUUCGUCCACUCUGGGUAAGUCGGGACCUAAGGCGAGGCCGAACGGCGUAGUCGAUGGAUAACGGGUUAAGAAUCCCGUACUUGGAUGUAAUUGUAGCGAGGGACGGAGAAGGCGAGUGUCAGCCGGAUGUUGGUUACCGGCUCAACCAUUAAGUUGGAGAGAGACGGAGAAAACGUCUUGAGAUGAGAUGGGAGUACGAGAUUCUACGGAAUCGAAGUGGCAUAGUCAGGCUUCCAAGAAAAGCUCGAACUACGGAAAUUGCAUUUGACCCGUACCCGAAACCGACACAGGUGGGGAGGUAGAGGAUACCGAGGGGCGCGAGAUAACUCUCUCUAAGGAACUCGGCAAAAUGGCCCCGUAACUUCGGAAGAAGGGGUGCCCAAGGUAGAACUUGGGUCGCAGUGAAGAGGUCCAGGCGACUGUUUACCAAAAACACAGGUCUCCGCGAAGUGAAAUCACGCAGUAUGGGGGCUGACGCCUGCCCAGUGCCGGAAGGUUAAGGAAGUUGGUCAGGCUUUCGGGCUGAAGCUGACGACCGAAGCCCCGGUGAACGGCGGCCGUAACUAUAACGGUCCUAAGGUAGCGAAAUUCCUUGUCGGGUAAGUUCCGACCCGCACGAAAGGCGUAACGAUCUGGACGGUGUCUCAGAGAGAGACUCGGCGAAAUAGGAUUGUCUGUGAAGAUACGGACUACCUGCACCUGGACAGAAAGACCCUAUGAAGCUUUACUGUAGCCUGGAAUUGGGUUCGGGCUUGGCGUGCGCAGGAUAGGUGGGAGGCGAAGAGAUAUUCCUUGUGGGGAGUAUGGAGCCAACGGUGAGAUACCACUCUCGCGAAGCUAGAAUUCUAACCAUCUCCCGUGAGCCGGGAGUGGGACGGUUUCAGGUGGGCAGUUUGACUGGGGCGGUCGCCUCCUAAAUGGUAACGGAGGCGCGCAAAGGUUCCCUCAGCACGGUUGGAAAUCGUGCGGCGAGUGUAAAGGCAUGAAGGGAGCUUGACUGCAAGACCCACAAGUCGAGCAGGUACGAAAGUAGGUCUUAGUGAUCCGACGGCUCAGAGUGGAAUGGCCGUCGCUCAACGGAUAAAAGUUACUCUAGGGAUAACAGGCUGAUCUCCCCCAAGAGUCCACAUCGACGGGGAGGUUUGGCACCUCGAUGUCGGCUCAUCGCAACCUGGGGCGGAAGUACGUCCCAAGGGUUGGGCUGUUCGCCCAUUAAAGCGGUACGUGAGCUGGGUUCAGAACGUCGUGAGACAGUUCGGUCCAUAUCCGGUGCAGGCGUUAGAACAUUGAGAGGAGUCUUCCUUAGUACGAGAGGACCGGGAAGAACGAACCUCUGGUGUACCAGUUAUCGUGCCAACGGUAAACGCUGGGUAGCCAUGUUCGGAGCGGAUAACCGCUGAAAGCAUCUAAGUGGGAAGCCCACCUCAAGAUGAGUGUUCUCAUCCCAAUUUGGGAGUAAGGUUACACAUAGAACAUGUGUUGAUAGGCUUUCGGUGGAAGUGUGGCAACAUAUGAAGCCUAGAAGUACUAACAAACCGAGGGCUUGACCU